UCUUGGACAUGCCUUGCAUGGCAGGCUCCCCGCACGUACGUGCGGCCAACUGUCAUGGGGCUGUCUUCUCAGGGUCCCUUCGUUUAUCCAUUUCGGUAGCUCGGGGUGCCUCGGAUUUGGUUGCCUGUGCGGUCUUACCGUAUUUGGUAUCACAAUUGUCCCGCUGUUGCGUAUUUUGCUUGCUCCGUCGAUGCUACCCAUCGGCGGGCGGCCGAGGCGUUGGCAAAUUCCGUGCGCUGCGAUGCACUAUGUGCGUCGGAACUGCAUAUCGGGUGUUUGCCGGCUCUCACGGAUAUCAGUCCCUACGUUGAGCGGUCUGCGGGCUACGUGCCCGCAGGCUCACGGUGCUGCCCGUACACGCAGAUUUGUCGCCGAUGUUCCGUCUACACGUGUUCCUUCGGGAACCAUGUCUUGAGGGAUCUCACUCGGCGCAUGUCUGUGUGUGCGUGCAUAUCCUUACCGACCCGAAUGAUACACGAUUGCCGGUCUGCGUCGUCGCGGGAAG
Molecule: unclassified non-coding RNA, 505 nt
Filed under: Cyperus papyrus
Lineage: Eukaryota; Viridiplantae; Streptophyta; Magnoliopsida; Poales; Cyperaceae
Description: partial external transcribed spacer 1f
Source: RNAcentral